AUGGCCAGUGCCAAGGCCCUGAGCAGAAGUUUGCCUGACAGUUUGAGGAAUUGCACCUCCUGUAGAGCUGAGGCUCCUGAGCUGGGGAGGACUACAAUCUGGUAGGGGGAAACUGACAUCAGUCAAAGAACCACCAAAUUAAAUGUGAAAUUACACCUUUGAGAAGGGACAGGAAUGAUGACAACAUGGGUAUGUCCUUGUGCAGACCUGGUCAGCAAUAUCAGGAAGGGCUUGCUAGAAGAAGGAACAGUUCGAGGAAGGUGAGGCAUAAGAAGCAAGCUGACCAAAGAAGCCCAUGUGCUAAGAAGUCAUCAUUUUGCCAGGCACUACUCUGUCCUGCCACGGGAUGUCCUCCUCACGUGAGGAAUACAGAGAUGAACACCGUAACUUGUAGUUGGCAUUUUGCCAGAUUGGGGUAACUAAUGGGCAGAAGGGCAGGGGAGUUUGGGGUUGGAAGUUGACUCUGGUUUGUCUUGAUCUACUCUCUGCACAGGCAGGAAAAUGGCAUUUGUGUGGUUACUCUGGGGUAACCAGGCGGGCAAGGGAGCUAUACUUGGAGGAGCAUUAAGCUGGUGGAGUGCUACUUGGCCUGCAUGUGAUGAGUUUGUGGCAUGCCAGGCAUUGCCAGCCCCUUGCCAAGCCCUGCCCAUGCCUUUCUUGUUCCCUGGCAUUUCUCCCAGUAGUCAGACGAUAUGUGCAUGUAGGAGAGUUUUGGUGAGUCUGUUGAAUGACUGAAGAGUGAAGUAUUUGGAGAGGGCACAAGAUUUGAACCCAGGAUGAGGUUGAGGAUGAGAAUGUGGUUCUAUGUCCGAAUCCUGUCUCUUUCACUUAACAAGCCGUGUGAAAGUGCACGAGUUGCUUGUAGUUUCCAGACCUCAGUUCCCUGAUCUGUAAAUUGGAGGUAACAACAAGCUUUAUCUCAGAGGGCUGUUGUAGGGCUCAAUUUGGCUAAUGUGUACAGAGCUUUGCGCAUCUGCUGUCAGGACAACUAUUCUGUGGUUGCUGUGCUCUGCCCCCCACAAGUGUAUUCUCACAAUGUCAUAGGGUCACAGCUGGACACAAAUCAUCAGCCUGGAUGGAGCCAGGGUGAAUCUACACAAGGAACCCAGGAGGACAACACUCCUCAAAGAAGUGUGACAGAGCAGAGUCUGCAGGGCUGGAGGUGGAAGGCAGAUGUGAAGGAAAUUUUUAAACUCACAAUGAGGAUAGGAAGCGGGAAGCUCAGGCUUGUUCACCAAAACCUGGCAUUCUGGAGUUACAGGGCCCCCUUGGAGCACAAAUGAGUGUCCCCACGGUAAAACAGGACCUGCUUUCAGGAGGACUAGGUGAGAUUCUCCGUGUGCUACACUGAAACGUUUCCCUGCAGUGCCAGGCUGUGAAUGCUUAGUGACAGCAGCUCCACCCUGCAUAGGCGGAGAGACCAGGAGCCUCUCCAGUCUCCUUGGCGCUCUGCGGCACA
This is a long non-coding RNA of Nycticebus coucang (slow loris), 1459 nucleotides long. RefSeq lists it as uncharacterized. The transcript is spliced from 3 exons. The record is from RefSeq and is a predicted model, not a curated record. NCBI's taxonomy places the organism in Eukaryota, Metazoa, Chordata, Mammalia, Primates, Lorisidae.